This 241-nucleotide ribosomal RNA is filed under the name uncultured bacterium. RNAcentral's name for it is "partial 16S ribosomal RNA". It matches the Rfam family "Bacterial small subunit ribosomal RNA", at positions 524 to 765 of the family's 1533-position model. The record is from RNAcentral.
UACGAAGGGGGCUAGCGUUGCUCGGAAUUACUGGGCGUAAAGCGUGCGCAGGCGGCUUCUCAAGUCAGGGGUGAAAGCCCAGAGCUCAACUCUGGAAUUGCCUUUGAGACUGAGUGGCUUGAGUACGAGAGAGGUGAGUGGAAUUCCCAGUGUAGAGGUGAAAUUCGUAGAUAUUGGGAAGAACACCGGUGGCGAAGGCGGCUCACUGGCUCGUAACUGACGCUCAUGCACGCAGCGUGGG